GUGGGGAAUAUUGGACAAUGGGCGAAAGCCUGAUCCAGCCACGCCGCGUGUGUGAUGAAGGUCUUCGGAUCGUAAAGCACUGUGGAGAGGGACGAACAAGUAGCGGGAACAAUACCCCGUUGCCCUGACGGUACCUCUUUAGCAAGCACCGGCCAACUCCGUGCCAGCAGCCGCGGUAAUACGGAGGGUGCAAACGUUGCUCGGAAUCAUUGGGCGUAAAGCGCGUGUAGGCGGCACGUUAAGUCGAGUGUGAAAGCCCUGGGCUCAACCCAGGAAGUGCGCUCGAAACUGGCGAGCUUGAGUACGGGAGAGGGUAGUGGAAUUCCCGGUGUAGAGGUGAAAUUCGUAGAUAUCGGGAGGAACACCAGUGGCGAAGGCGGCUACCUGGACCGAUACUGACGCUGAGACGCGAAAGCGUGGGUAGCAAACAGGAUUAGAUACCCCUGUAGUCC
Molecule: ribosomal RNA, 452 nt
Filed under: uncultured bacterium
Lineage: Bacteria
Description: bacterial SSU rRNA
Rfam family: Bacterial small subunit ribosomal RNA
Source: RNAcentral